This 625-nucleotide ribosomal RNA is filed under the name Hepatozoon canis. Its description in RNAcentral is "bacterial SSU rRNA". It matches the Rfam family "Eukaryotic small subunit ribosomal RNA", at positions 188 to 801 of the family's 1831-position model. The record is from RNAcentral. RNAcentral also lists the same sequence under 1 other name. Lineage: Eukaryota; Apicomplexa; Hepatozoidae.
UUUAUUAGAAGAGACGCAUUUAUUAGAUAAAAAGCCAGUUCAUGCUUUUACAGUAUGAAAAUUGGUGAUUUAUAAUAACUUAGCAAAUCGCAAAGUGAAAACAGGCGAUAAAUCAUUCAAGUUUCUGACCUAUCAGCUUUCGACGGUAUGGUAUUGGCUUACCGUGGCAGUGACGGUUAACGGGGGAUUAGGGUUCGAUUCCGGAGAGGGAGCCUGAGAAACGGCUACCACAUCUAAGGAAGGCAGCAGGCGCGCAAAUUACCCAAUUCUAACAGUUUGAGAGAGGUAGUAACAAGAAAUAACAAUACAAGGCAGUUAAAAUGCUUUGUAAUUGGAAUGAUAGAAAUUUAAACCCUUUUUAAAGUAUCAAUUGGAGGGCAAGUCUGGUGCCAGCAGCCGCGGUAAUUCCAGCUCCAAUAGCGUAUAUUAAAAUUGUUGCAGUUAAAAAGCUCGUAGUUGAAGUUCUGCUGAAAGUAACCGGUCUGCUUUUAAUAAAAGUGGUAUCUUGGUAUGUAUUUAGCAAUGAUGUCCUUUGAAGUGUUUUUUACUUUAUUGUAAUAAAGCAUAUUCAGGACUUUUACUUUGAGAAAAUUAGAGUGUUUCUAGCAGGCUGACGCUUUGAAUA